AUAAUUUAGUUUAAAUAAAAUAUUUAUUUUUGGUGUAAAAGUUUUAAUUAUAAGU
This 55-nucleotide transfer RNA is filed under the name Dictyocaulus eckerti (red deer lungworm). Its description in RNAcentral is "tRNA-Gln". The record is from RNAcentral. Lineage: Eukaryota; Metazoa; Nematoda; Chromadorea; Rhabditida; Metastrongylidae.